UCUCUCUCUCUCUCUCUCUCUCGUCUCUUUCUCUCCUCUGUUUCUUCCCAAGAAAAACACCCUCGAAACCCAGAUUACCCAGUCCCUCCACAAUCCAAAUUUUCCGGCGACACAGAUUACGCAGUCCCACCCACUACCUCCUCCCUCUAAAACCCAGCCGGCAUCAUUCAUGAAAAAGGCAAUGCUUGAAAAUCUUGAACGACUUGUUGAAUGGGGGCCAUCUAUUUUCAGGCGAAGCAAAAAGAAUUUCGUAAAUGAACGAGGUGGGUAAAGGCUUGGGAAGAUGCAUCUUUUGGCUAGAUUUCUUGUAGCAAAUCGACUGUGAGGGUUUUUUUAUGCGAGCAGAAAGCACUGGAAUCCAAGCGUGGUACAGCAUGAGCAAAUUGGAUUUGGUAAUUGGCAGGCAGGCAGGCAACGCAGUCUACAGCGACUUUUAUAAAAGGCUUUUUCACCGCACGUGGUGGGCUGGGCCAACAUGUCGGGCGUUCACACGAGUGCAAGCUCCUCCUAGGUCCUCACAGAUCCCAAUGAGAUCCGCUGUCACACGCGACCACACACAGAAUAAAUAAAUUAUAAUAUCAACUCAUAUGCCCCCUACUGCCUAGCAGUAAAAUUAACACCACUCAUGAUCUGACACCUGUACUACUUUGCUACGUGUGGCUCUGUCAGCUUUGGUGGGUGAGAGUACGAAAUUGACCUUGGAAGUUGUAUGGGGUGUCUUAUUUUGAGAUGGGUAGUUUUGGGAUGGGGGAGUUUUGGAGGGAGAGGAAAAAAAGAAGGGGUUGGGAGACAAGACAAGGCAGCUUUAGUAAAAGAGAAAAGAAGGUGGUGAGGUGAUUAAUGGUGUUUGUUUUUGUGUGAGGGAGUAAAAAGAGAAAGUGGAGAGAAUUUUGGUGAUCCCAAGAAGAUUGUGAAAUGGAAAAACAGAGUCUGAGAGGAUGCAGCCUUUUCUUUUCCCUUUAUUUUGAGAGAGAGAGAUUGGAUCCAACAUACUCUUGGUGGAGCUUUGCUAGAUUCACUUAUUUAUGUUCCAUAUGAACAACUCUUUAGUUAUUUAUUGAUGUAAAACAAAAAGAAUUGAGCUACUGUAAAACUGAUCGAAAUCGGGUGUAUGGUAUACUGCUAUGACUAACUGGUUUAAUCCACAUAUGUAAUAAAAUUUUAAUAUAAAAGUUGGAUUAGGGAUUA
Prunus mume (Japanese apricot) is the source of this 1188-nucleotide long non-coding RNA. RefSeq lists it as uncharacterized. The record is from RefSeq and is a predicted model, not a curated record. Lineage: Eukaryota; Viridiplantae; Streptophyta; Magnoliopsida; Rosales; Rosaceae.